Molecule: ribosomal RNA, 497 nt
Filed under: uncultured bacterium
Lineage: Bacteria
Description: partial 16S ribosomal RNA
Rfam family: Bacterial small subunit ribosomal RNA
Source: RNAcentral
GAUGAACGCUGGCGGCGUGCCUAAUACAUGCCAGUCGAGCGAACAGACGAGGAGCUUGCUCCUCUGACGUUAGCGGCGGACGGGUGAGUAACACGUGGAUAACCUACCUAUAAGACUGGGAUAACUUCGGGAAACCGGAGCUAAUACCGGAUAAUAUAUUGAACCGCAUGGUUCAAUAGUGAAAGACGGUUUUGCUGUCACUUAUAGAUGGAUCCGCGCCGCAUUAGCUAGUUGGUAAGGUAACGGCUUACCAAGGCAACGAUGCGUAGCCGACCUGAGAGGGUGAUCGGCCACACUGGAACUGAGACACGGUCCAGACUCCUACGGGAGGCGGCAGUAGGGAAUCUUCCGCAAUGGGCGAAAGCCUGACGGAGCAACGCCGCGUGAGUGAUGAAGGUCUUCGGAUCGUAAAACUCUGUUAUUAGGGAAGAACAAAUGUGUAAGUAACUAUGCACGUCUUGACGGUACCUAAUCAGAAAGCCACGGCUAACUACGUG